RNAcentral lists this ribosomal RNA (678 nucleotides) under uncultured organism. RNAcentral's name for it is "bacterial SSU rRNA". It matches the Rfam family "Bacterial small subunit ribosomal RNA", at positions 78 to 792 of the family's 1533-position model. The record is from RNAcentral.
CUUCGGUAUGAUGACAGUGGCAAACGGGCGAGUAACGCGUAUCUAUCUGCCCCAGAGUGGAUGACAACUAUGGAGACAUAGCUAAUCAUCCAUACGCCCCUUCGGGGGGAAAGAUUAUCGCUCCGGGAGGAAGAUNGCGUCUAUCAGGUAGUUGGUGGGGUAAAGGCCUACCAAGCCUAUGACGGGUAGCCGGUCUGAGAGGAUGUCCGGCCGCAAUGGAACUGAGACACGGUCCAUACUCCUACGGGAGGCAGCAGUGGGGAAUCUUGGACAAUGGGGGAAACCCUGAUCCAGCGAUUCUGCGUGGAGGAUGAAGCCUUGUGGGGUGUAAACUCCUUUUCUGGGGGAAGACGAAUGACGGUACCUCAGGAAUAAGGGACGGCUAACUACGUGCCAGCAGCCGCGGUAAUACGUAGGUCUCGAGCGUUAUCCGGAGUUACUGGGCGUAAAGCGUCUGUAGCCGGAACAGUAAGUCUAUUUUCAAAGACCUGGACUCAAUCGAGGGAAGGGAAUAGAUACUGCUAUUCUAGAGAUAUUAGGAGGUAAGUGGCAUUUCAGGUGGAGCGGUGAAAUGCGUUGAUAUCUGCAGGACCGCCGAAAGCGAAAGCAGCUUACUACUAAUUAUCUGACGGUCAGAGACGAACGCUUGGGUACCACACGGGAUUAGAUACCCCGGUA